UCCGCCUGGGAACUACGAGCACAAACGCUUAAAACUCUAAGGACUUGGCGGUGCCCUAAACCCACCUAGAGGAGCCUGUUCUAUAAUCGAUAACCCACGUUACACCCAACCGCCUCUUGCCAAAACAGCCUAUAUACCGCCGUCGCCAGCUCACCUCUCCUGAGAGCCCAAUAGUGAGCACAAUAGCCGAACCCGCUAGUAAGACAGGUCGAGGUAUAGCCUAUGGGGCGGAAGAAAUGGGCUACAUUUUCUAAGAUAGAAUACCCACGGAAAGAGAUGUGAAACCAUCCCUCGAAGGCGGAUUUAGUAGUAA
This 313-nucleotide ribosomal RNA is filed under the name Tringa ochropus (green sandpiper). Its description in RNAcentral is "partial 12S ribosomal RNA". It matches the Rfam family "Bacterial small subunit ribosomal RNA", at positions 868 to 1341 of the family's 1533-position model. The record is from RNAcentral. Lineage: Eukaryota; Metazoa; Chordata; Aves; Charadriiformes; Scolopacidae.